UGCCCCAUGGCUGAGUUGGUUACAGCGUCCGACUGUUAUCGCCUGGCAGGAAAUCGGAAGGUCGUGAGUUCGAGCCUCACUGGGGCAG
Molecule: non-coding RNA, 88 nt
Organism: Marasmius oreades (fairy-ring Marasmius)
Lineage: Eukaryota; Fungi; Basidiomycota; Agaricomycetes; Agaricales; Marasmiaceae
Source: the annotation of a RefSeq genome assembly